AACCACUAUCCCCCACCCACCACCCAAGACCCAAGUUGCACACCAAAUAUUUAAUUUAAUUUUUAAUUAUUUUAUAUAGUUACAAUAUAAAUUAUACCCCCCCUUCCUCCCACCUUUAAAAACUCUAAGCCCAUCCAAAUUACCCUUCUUCUUCCCCAUCCAUCCUUCCCUUCAACUCCAUCCUAUAACUACAACAAAACCUCAAUUCCGGCCACCAAAUCGAUCGAGAUCGAUGUUUCGAACGCUGGCAAGAUUGCGGAGGAACAUAAGGAAGAGCCCUAGGGUAGCUGAUGAGAGCAUCUUGGGAGGAGGAGGAGGAGGAGGAGGAGGAGGAGGGAUGAACAUGAGGGUAGUAGUUGGUGAUGACCAUCAACAACAAGCGCACACGUUAAACAAGUUCUCUACGGUGGUGAGCCUGGUCCUUGUGCCGUUUUCGAUCUUUGCUUGCCUCUCGCAACCUCAUGUCAAUGGGGCGGACGGGAUGUGGGCAUCGGCGGAGCUUCCACGGCUCUCGGAGGUCAACCAUCUAAUGGUCAAUGAUAGC
This 544-nucleotide long non-coding RNA is filed under the name Linum usitatissimum (flax). RNAcentral's name for it is "long non-coding RNA (LUSI_LNC001841)". The record is from RNAcentral. Lineage: Eukaryota; Viridiplantae; Streptophyta; Magnoliopsida; Malpighiales; Linaceae.